GUGAGGAAUUUUCCGCAAUGGGCGAAAGCCUGACGGAGCAAUGCCGCGUGAAGGAUGAAGGCCUAUGGGUUGUAAACUUCUUUUCUCAGAAAAGAAUUAUGACGGUAUCUGAGGAAUAAGCAUCGGCUAACUCUGUGCCAGCAGCCGCGGUAAGACAGAGGAUGCAAGCGUUAUCCGGAAGGAUUGGGCGUAAAGCGUCUGUAGGUUGUUUAAAAAGUAUUCUGUCAAAGAUUAGGGCUUAACCCUAGAUAGGCAGAAUAAACUUUUAAGCUAGAGUUUGGUAGAGGCAGAGGGAAUUCCCAGUGGAGCGGUGAAAUGCGUAGAUAUCGGGAGGAACACCAAAGGCGAAGGCACUCUGCUGGGCCAAUACUAACACUGAGAGACGAAAGCGAGGGGAGCAAAUGGGAUUAGAAACCCGGGUAGUCC
Molecule: ribosomal RNA, 426 nt
Filed under: uncultured bacterium
Lineage: Bacteria
Description: bacterial SSU rRNA
Rfam family: Bacterial small subunit ribosomal RNA
Source: RNAcentral